AUCCUUUUGUGUUCGUAAGGAUGGUGACUGGGUGCCCACACCCACAUGUGAGAUGCGCCCCUCAAACCUUGUUACAACUUCAACCAUUACCCAUCUGACA
Small nucleolar RNA from Rhinopithecus roxellana (golden snub-nosed monkey), 100 nucleotides. RefSeq annotates it as small nucleolar RNA U13. The transcript has a single exon. The record is from RefSeq and is a predicted model, not a curated record. NCBI's taxonomy places the organism in Eukaryota, Metazoa, Chordata, Mammalia, Primates, Cercopithecidae.